AAAGGAUGCCCAUCCAACUGGUAGGGAGCGGAGGUCGCCCAAAAAGGCGGAUGUUGACUCCAUAGGAGUCUCAAACAGUACGCUUGUUAGUAAGAGCAGCAGGAGCAAGAAGAUCCUGGAUAUACUUCUCUUAGCAAAUAAAGAAGCCAUCAAAGGUAGACUCUGGGAAGUAGCGAUGAGGACCAAUGUCAGACAUAAGAAACUCACUGUGACGAGCCUUCACCAAGGCAAUGUAUUUAAGAGUCGUGCAGGAUCAUGAGCACUCGUUGAAAAACGAGCCGCAUUAACCACAGAGACAACACUCAAACCAGGCAUGAGGGGUUUGCUUGAGACCAUAUAGAAAACGUCGAACAGGACAAACCAUGCCAGCUGGAAAAGAAUACCCAAGUGGUGGCUACAUGUAGGCAUUGUUGACAUCAAGUUGAGAGAGAGAGAGAUACUAUGUUGGCAAACAAAAACCACAUCGGAAAGUGUGCCAAAAGUGGUCAUCUGGGCCAUAUUGGAGCAAAUGUCUGAUCGUAAUUCAAACUAUAUGUUCUCACUACUAGACGAGCUUUGUAAAGCUCUAGAGAAACAUCAUAGUCUCACCCUUGUGGGCCCAGUUACAAGUGAUGAGACGAGCAAGAGGAGGAAGGGAAAUGAGAUUCCACUAGCCGACGAGGGGAAGAUCAUUUGAUGCCAUCACAUGCUGCCAUUGUGGAUGAAAAAACGUCCUGAUAAGAAGUCGUCUUGCGAAGAGCACCGCAAUAACUAACCAUUGCAGUCAAUAGGCAGAAGCGGGCGAGCAUGAAAGCCAUAAGUAGGCUGAUCUGGAGCUAUGUGUUGCCAACAGAAGAAGACAUAGUAGUUGAGGGAGAUGACUCAUUAGAAGAAUCCACAGCACGCGAACAAUGAGUGUAGUAAAGUCAAGGUAGAUGAGCAAAAGAAGGAACAUGCAAAGACAAACUGCCAAGAGUGCCUCGACUAUCGACUGGCAGGGAAGUUACAUUGAGAGUAAAAACAUGAACAUGAGAAUCUAGAUGUGGAAUACGCAAGUGGUGGCUGCACGUAAAACCCCUCACAAAAUUCACCAUUAAAAAAGACAUUCUUAACAUCAAGCCGAAUCGGAGUGACGAAUAAAGGCCGCAACAAGAUGUGUGUGAACAAUUGUCGUAUGGCCUGCAUGAGCAGAAACUCUCAUCGUAAUUAGGACCACGAUUCUACUGAAAGCCACGAGCCACAAGACGAGUUUUGUAAUGUUCAAGAGAACCAUCAGAGCGAGUCUUAACCUUGUAGACGCACCAAGUAAUGGGACGAACACGAGGACGAAGGGACACAAUAUCCGAUGUGCUAAUGCGCUCAACAGUAGCAAUAUCCUCUACCAUGGCAAGGCGCCAUUUGGUAUGAAUAACAUCAAGAUAAGAAGUCUGCUCAAGAAAGUAGCGCCAACGUUUCAUAGCCUAAGGUGGUCAACAGACAAAAGUGGACGAGGUCGCAAGCCAUAAGAAGGCCGAGACGGAGAAGAUGGCACAUCAAUAGAUGCAUCCACAAUACACGAACGGCGUGUAUAAAAAUGAGGCAAAUGUGGAAGAAUACGAGCAAGAAUCAUCGAGAUAAACUCAGGUUAUGGAGACAAGUCACCGGUGAUGAAAGUUUAGAAUCCCCGUGAUAAGCGAAGUGAGGAAAUCAUAGGAGAUGAUGGUGUUGAAUUUGUAAUAAUUGGAGAACCAGGAGCAGUACGAGGAAUGGAUUAGGGCUCAACAAUAGUGAUAGGAGUGUCGGGAAAAGUGAGGCAACACAUCCUCCAUUGAAAUGGUUGGGCAUGAUGGUCACACGUAGAAAGGUCGAGACUCAAUAAAAGUCAUACCGUGAGAAAUAGUCACCCAAUGACCAACAUGAUCCUAACGACAGUAUCUCUUAUGCUCAUUGUUGUAUCCUAUGAACACUCAACAAACUAAGUAGUAAGUUUGGUACAUUCACGAUAGGUAGUAAGGGCACAUCAAACACAACCAAACAAUUGAAGCGCUGAAUAAUCUGGAAACGAUCAAAUAGACUCUCGAAAGGAGAUGACCGUGGUGGAAGUGGAGACGCAUUCAACCCAAAAGUGUGGCGUAAGAGAGGCAGUGACCAUCGAAAAGUGUGGCGUAAGAGAGGCAGUGACCAUCGAAAAGUGUGGCGUAAGAGAGGCAGUGACCAUCGAAAAGUGUGGCGGAAGAGAGAGCAAUGACAUUGAACCUACGAGCCGUCUCAAUAGUUGACGAUGCUUGCCCUCAGCCAUGCCAUUUCUGAGUAUGAGCACCAGGAUAAGAGAACUGAGCAAGACCAGCCUGCUCAACAAGGAUUGAACGCAACAUCUUGGAGAUUUAUUCUCCACCAGAGUCAUCAUAGUAUACAAGAAUAGGCGUAGAGAACUUGGUGUGAACCAUGGAAGCAAAACGCUUACACAGAUAAGACCUCCCUACGAAAGGAAAUAAAGUAUAUCCAGGUGUGUCGAGAGAAGCCAUCUAUAAAUAUAGUACUAGCGAUGACCUCCUUUCGAGGCGAAAGGAGAUGGACCCUAGACAUCAAAGUGAACAAGGUUGAAAGGAUGUUGAGACACUGUCUCGCUAUGAGCAUAAGGUAACUAUAGCUGUUUACCAAGCCGACAACCCAGACAGGUUAGAGACAUCGUCUGAGACUGAUCCAAGAAGACCACGUCAAACUAAGGAUGCGAGAUGAGAGCCACACAAGUGACCCAGGCGACGAUGGCACUUCUAAGCAUAGCUGGUAGACAAGGUAACAGAGGUGGAGAGACUAGCGGCUGUAGCAGCAGAGUCACUUGAUCCAGCAUCCUACGUGCCUGUGCGCUCUCCGUUACUCACCGAUCCGGCUUGGUGUGCUUCUCCUGUUUGCGGGUUGUGUGCCACGCACUUGAUUAAGCACCCCACGUUCUCCUACAGUGCGCCCUUGACCCUGGCUUUAGGUAGCGCCGUGUCCUCGGCUUGCCGUGCAUAAUCCAGGUAUGCGCCGACUGUCCGAGCUCCUGCUCACCAUUGGUGUUGCUCGAGCGUGGGUUCUGGUGUCGCCCAUAAAGGGAACACGGGAUGUGGGAUUGAGACAGUUCACAUAGCAACCCACAAGGCAAAGGAUGCCCAUCCAACUGGUAGGGAGCGGAGGUCGCCCAAAAAGGCGGAUGUUGACUCCAUAGGAGUCUCAAACAGUACGCUUGUUAGUAAGAGCAGCAGGAGCAAGAAGAUCCUGGAUAUACUUCUCUUAGCAAAUAAAGAAGCCAUCAAAGGUAGACUCUGGGAAGUAGCGAUGAGGACCAAUGUCAGACAUAAGAAACUCACUGUGACGAGCCUUCACCAAGGCAAUGUAUUUAAGAGUCGUGCAGGAUCAUGAGCACUCGUUGAAAAACGAGCCGCAUUAACCACAGAGACAACACUCAAACCAGGCAUGAGGGGUUUGCUUGAGACCAUAUAGAAAACGUCGAACAGGACAAACCAUGCCAGCUGGAAAAGAAUACCCAAGUGGUGGCUACAUGUAGGCAUUGUUGACAU
Molecule: long non-coding RNA, 3518 nt
Filed under: Hordeum vulgare
Lineage: Eukaryota; Viridiplantae; Streptophyta; Magnoliopsida; Poales; Poaceae
Description: long non-coding RNA (HVUL_LNC004428)
Source: RNAcentral